GAUGAACGCUGGCGGCGUGCUUAACACAUGCAAGUCGAACGGUGAAGGCGGAGCUUGCUCUGCUGGAUCAGUGGCGAACGGGUGAGUAACACGUGAGCAAUCUGCCCUUGACUCUGGGAUAAGCGCUGGAAACGGCGUCUAAUACUGGAUACGAGCUGCGAAGGCAUCUUCAGCAGCUGGAAAGAACUUCGGUCAGGGAUGAGCUCGCGGCCUAUCAGCUUGUUGGUGAGGUAACGGCUCACCAAGGCGUCGACGGGUAGCCGGCCUGAGAGGGUGACCGGCCACACUGGGACUGAGACACGGCCCAGACUCCUACGGGAGGCAGCAGUGGGGAAUAUUGCACAAUGGGCGGAAGCCUGAUGCAGCAACGCCGCGUGAGGGACGACGGCCUUCGGGUUGUAAACCUCUUUUGGCAGGGAAGAAGCGAAAGUGACGGUACCUGCAGAAAAAGCGCCGGCUAACUACGUG
Molecule: ribosomal RNA, 468 nt
Filed under: uncultured bacterium
Lineage: Bacteria
Description: partial 16S ribosomal RNA
Rfam family: Bacterial small subunit ribosomal RNA
Source: RNAcentral